Ostrea edulis (European flat oyster) is the source of this 90-nucleotide long non-coding RNA. RefSeq lists it as uncharacterized. The record is from RefSeq and is a predicted model, not a curated record. The transcript is spliced from 2 exons. Lineage: Eukaryota; Metazoa; Mollusca; Bivalvia; Ostreida; Ostreidae.
AAUACGUUUUGAAGAGUUACAACCAGCUGAUAUCUUCCGCAUCUUAUGGUCAAUGCCUUUAUUUUCUACUGAAUAAAUUAAUAAAACCAA